This is a non-coding RNA of Mycena vulgaris, 91 nucleotides long. NCBI's taxonomy places the organism in Eukaryota, Fungi, Basidiomycota, Agaricomycetes, Agaricales, Mycenaceae. The record is from the annotation of a GenBank genome assembly.
GGCUCGAUGGCGGAAGGCCCGCCUCUGCACACCCUAUCUAAAUCGCAAUGGGUUUGCGCAGAAGAUCCCCGUUCGAUUCGGGGUCGAGCCA